UGGUGGCUCGAGAUAUGUUAGCCAUAUCAAUUUCAACUAUUGCUUCUAAGUCAGCAUUUAGCACAAGAGUACAUGUUCUUGAUAUAUAUAGUUCUUUAUCUCCUAUGAUGGAGGCUCUUAUAUGUGCUCAAAAUUGACUGCGAUCUUCUCCAAUUACACUAACGGAAUCGGCACAUCUCAUUAAGAAAUUUGAAGAAUUAGAAG
RNAcentral lists this long non-coding RNA (204 nucleotides) under Elaeis guineensis (African oil palm). RNAcentral describes it as "long non-coding RNA (EGUI_LNC035336)". Lineage: Eukaryota; Viridiplantae; Streptophyta; Magnoliopsida; Arecales; Arecaceae. The record is from RNAcentral.